Glycine soja is the source of this 1618-nucleotide RNA transcript. It is a transcript of the gene named probable lactoylglutathione lyase, chloroplastic, with no coding region annotated. Lineage: Eukaryota; Viridiplantae; Streptophyta; Magnoliopsida; Fabales; Fabaceae. The record is from RefSeq and is a predicted model, not a curated record. The transcript is spliced from 10 exons.
CAUUUUACAAUUAGUUGUUAUUCUCCCCUCACUCAUCCACAAUACAAGGGUCACCCCAAUGGUAUUGGUGAGAGUGGUUCCCAUGGCUUCUUCUUCUUCGAUUCGACCCACUCUCUCCUCCCUUAGAUUCUUAACACCGUCAUCUCUUUCGCUCUCCAACCCUUCUUCUCGUAUCUCUUUCUCCCAUCUUCCCUCUCCCUCUGUGUCUCAAUCCAAUAGUUUUGGCCUCAAAGCUUCCAGAGAGUUGAGACAACAUGGCAACUCCACGAGAAUCAUGGCAUCAGGGCACGUGUCUCAAUCGAUUUCAGCUGCUUCACCAGAAAAUGUGCUUGAGUGGGUCAAACAGGACAAGCGAAGAAUGCUUCAUGUUGUAUAUCGUGUUGGGGACUUGGACAGGACCAUAAAGUUUUAUACAGAGUGCCUAGGAAUGAAGCUCCUCAGAAAGAGGGACAUACCAGAGGAGAAAUAUACUAAUGCCUUUCUUGGAUAUGGGCCCGAAGACUCACACUUUGUUAUUGAACUGACAUACAAUUAUGGAGUUGACAAGUAUGAUAUCGGAACUGGAUUUGGCCAUUUUGGUAUAGCUGUUGAUGAUGUUGCAAAAGCAGUGGAACUAAUCAGAGCUAAGGGUGGCAAAAUAACUAGGGAGCCUGGUCCUGUCAAGGGAGGGCGUUCAGUAAUUGCAUUUAUUGAAGAUCCUGAUGGUUACAAAUUUGAACUUAUAGAAAGAGGUCCCACUCCUGAACCCUUGUGCCAAGUAAUGCUUCGAGUGGGUGAUCUUAAUCGUUCCAUAGAAUUUUAUGAGAAGGCAUUUGGUAUGGAGCUGCUUCGUACACGAGACAAUCCAGAAUACAAGUACACCAUAGCAAUGCUGGGUUAUGGUCCAGAAGAUAAAAGCACUGUUCUGGAGUUGACUUACAAUUAUGGAGUCACUGAAUAUGAUAAAGGAAAUGCUUAUGCUCAGAUUGCAGUAGGCACAGAUGAUGUGUACAAAACUGCAGAAGCAAUUAAACUAGCUGGAGGAAAGAUUACUCGGGAACCUGGAGCAUUACCUGGUAUCAACACAAAAAUUACUGCAUGCUUGGAUCCAGAUGGCUGGAAGUCGUACAUAACAAGGAGUGGAAGGUCUGUCUUCUGUUUGCUUUGGCAUGACACAUAAGAACAUGUUGAUGUUUUUCAGACAAAAUUAAGUUUUCAACUCAACUGAUUAAAGUGUUUUUGUAGAUAAUGUUGAUUUUCUAAAGGAGUUGGAGUAGAGUAUUUUGGUAGGUCAUCAUAGCAAUCUUGUGAGAUCAGUAUCAAAAUCUGGCAAAGAAUCGGUAUUCUUUAAGAAAAAUGUAUGCAUCAGAGUGUAUCAUAUUCAAAUCCGAUUUUGUAGAUAAUGUAAUAAUGACAAUAGCACCGACCCCUGUAAGCUGUAGCAAAUGUCUUCAACUAAAUACAAUGAAGCAAGGUUGAGAAACAUAUGUCGUUUAUCUCCAUUUUCUUUGGCCUUCGUGAUUUUGGCAGUAGGACAAACUUUGUCGUUGUUCACUCUGGAUAUUUCAGAGGCGUAUCAUGGAACAUUACUCUUCUACUUUUUAGAGUAAAUUUUGGACACGGGUCUUUGCCAAUUGAA